UAUGUUCACUGGCAUCAGAGACUCAAAGCAGGAAAGACUUUCUCUCCUGCUGCGUUGAAGAAGCAAGUCACAUGAGUUUGACAGCUGCAAGGAAAUAAUUCUGCCCACAAUCACAUGAGCUUGAAAGAAGACUCCCCAUUUCAGAGAAGAAUGCAGGCUGGCUGACACCUCAAUUACAGCAGAGACCCUGAGCAGAAGGCCCAGGUACUCCUAACCCACGGAAACUAUGAGAUGUUAGCUUAGUCGUGUGGAAGAAGCCCAAAAUUGACAGAGAAGAGACCUGGGUCUUUGAUUUGUCACCACCUGCAAGCAGUCUCUGUUCCUUCGGAGGCUCCAGUUAACUUUAUACCUGGAGCCAUCAGAAUCUUUGGAGAAAGAAGUUUCUAUCCUGUGAUAUAACAGUACCUGUGGAACUGUUACAUCUCAGAAUGCUGCCCAUGAGAGUGAUCUACCAUGAAUAAAGCCGCAUCUCGAGUUAAGCAGGAACAAUGGCUUGUCAUUAGUUUCCUUUCUGAAAAUGAUAAAAUCAAGACACUUUGGAUGGGGAACAUGGCCAUAAAAAGUGCAGUGGUGUGGGUUUGCUGGGA
Manis pentadactyla (Chinese pangolin) is the source of this 587-nucleotide long non-coding RNA. RefSeq lists it as uncharacterized. The record is from RefSeq and is a predicted model, not a curated record. NCBI's taxonomy places the organism in Eukaryota, Metazoa, Chordata, Mammalia, Pholidota, Manidae. The transcript is spliced from 3 exons.